UACGUAGGGUGCGAGCGUUGUCCGGAAUUAUUGGGCGUAAAGGGCUCGUAGGCGGUCUGUCGCGUCGGGCGUGAAAACUCAGGGCUUAACCCUGAGCCUGCUUCCGAUACGGGCAGACUAGAGGUAUGCAGGGGAGAACGGAAUUCCUGGUGUAGCGGUGGAAUGCGCAGAUAUCAGGAGAAACACCGGUGGCGAAGGCGGUUCUCUGGGCAUUACCUGACGCUGAGGAGCGAAAGUGUGGGGAGCGAACAGG
RNAcentral lists this ribosomal RNA (253 nucleotides) under uncultured bacterium. RNAcentral describes it as "partial 16S ribosomal RNA". It matches the Rfam family "Bacterial small subunit ribosomal RNA", at positions 524 to 776 of the family's 1533-position model. The record is from RNAcentral.